AUUGAACGCUGGCGGAAUGCUUUACACAUGCAAGUCGAGCGGCAGCGCGGGGGCAACCCUGGCGGCGAGCGGCGAAUGGGUGAGUAACAUAUCGGAACGUACCCCGUCGUGGGGGAUAACACAGCGAAAGCUGUGCUAAUACCGCAUACGACCUGAGGGUGAAAGCGGGGGAUCGCAAGACCUCGCGCGAUGGGAGCGGCCGAUAUCGGAUUAGCUUGUUGGUGAGGUAAAGGCUCACCAAGGCGACGAUCCGUAGCUGGUCUGAGAGGACGACCAGACACACUGGAACUGGGACACGGUCCAGACUCCUACGGGAGGCAGCAGUGGGGAAUUUUGGACAAUGGGGGCAACCCUGAUCCAGCCAUUCCGCGUGAGUGAAGAAGGCCUUCGGGUUGUAAAGCUCUUUCGGCAGGAACGAAACGGCAGGCUCUAACAUAGCCUGUCAAUGACGGUACCUGAAGAAGAAGCACCGGCUAACUACGUGCCAGCCGCCGCCGUAA
This 500-nucleotide ribosomal RNA is filed under the name uncultured bacterium. RNAcentral describes it as "partial 16S ribosomal RNA". It matches the Rfam family "Bacterial small subunit ribosomal RNA", at positions 29 to 523 of the family's 1533-position model. The record is from RNAcentral.